CCAGCAGCCUCUUUUUUUCCAGACUGGGGGUUGUGAGCCCGCCUGGGGAUGAGGCCUGGUCUUGUGGAACUGAACUUAGCUCGGCGGGGCUGCAGCUCUGACCCAGGGUGGUAUGUAAU
RNAcentral lists this long non-coding RNA (119 nucleotides) under Carlito syrichta (Philippine tarsier). RNAcentral's name for it is "Nuclear enriched abundant transcript 1 conserved region 1 (ENSTSYG00000028929.1)". It matches the Rfam family "Nuclear enriched abundant transcript 1 conserved region 1". The record is from RNAcentral. Lineage: Eukaryota; Metazoa; Chordata; Mammalia; Primates; Tarsiidae.